This 327-nucleotide ribosomal RNA is filed under the name uncultured eukaryote. RNAcentral describes it as "partial 18S ribosomal RNA". It matches the Rfam family "Eukaryotic small subunit ribosomal RNA", at positions 1470 to 1796 of the family's 1831-position model. The record is from RNAcentral.
CCCUUAGAUGUUCUGGGCCGCACACGCGCUACACUGAAGGAGGCAGCGUGUACUCCUGGAUCGAAAGAUUUGGGUAACCCGCGAAUCUCCUUCGUGCUAGGGAUUGAGGUUUGCAAUUAUCCUUCAUGAACGAGGAAUUCCCAGUAAGUGCAAGUCAUAAGCUUGCGCUGACUACGUCCCUGCCCUUUGUACACACCGCCCUUCGCUACUACCGAUUGAAUGAUUUAGUGAGGACUUCGGACUGGGACCGAUGCGGCUUUCGGGCUGCGUCGGUAUUCUGGAAAGAUGUCCAAACUGUAUCAUUUAGAGGAAGUAAAAGUCGUAACA